This 301-nucleotide ribosomal RNA is filed under the name uncultured bacterium. RNAcentral describes it as "partial 16S ribosomal RNA". It matches the Rfam family "Bacterial small subunit ribosomal RNA", at positions 509 to 807 of the family's 1533-position model. The record is from RNAcentral.
CAGUCGCCGCGGGAAUACAGAGGGUGCAAGCGUUAAUCGGAAUUACUGGGCGUAAAGCGCGCGUAGGUGGUUUGUUAAGUUGGAUGUGAAAGCCCCGGGCUCAACCUGGGAACUGCAUCCAAAACUGGCAAGCUAGAGUACGGUAGAGGGUGGUGGAAUUUCCUGUGUAGCGGUGAAAUGCGUAGAUAUAGGAAGGAACACCAGUGGCGAAGGCGACCACCUGGACUGAUACUGACACUGAGGUGCGAAAGCGUGGGGAGCAAACAGGAUUAGAGACCCGCGUAGUCCCUGUCUCUUAUAC